UCAGGAACUAGUUUCUUGGAAGGUGCUCUUA
Molecule: non-coding RNA, 31 nt
Filed under: Mus musculus (house mouse)
Lineage: Eukaryota; Metazoa; Chordata; Mammalia; Rodentia; Muridae
Source: RNAcentral